RNAcentral lists this ribosomal RNA (424 nucleotides) under uncultured bacterium. RNAcentral's name for it is "partial 16S ribosomal RNA". It matches the Rfam family "Bacterial small subunit ribosomal RNA", at positions 354 to 796 of the family's 1533-position model. The record is from RNAcentral.
GUGGGGAAUAUUGGACAAUGGGCGCAAGCCUGAUCCAGCAAUGCCGCGUGGGUGAAGAAGGUCUUCGGAUCGUAAAGCCCUUUCGACAGGGACGAUGAUGACGGUACCUGUAGAAGAAGCCCCGGCUAACUUCGUGCCAGCAGCCGCGGUAAUACGAAGGGGGCUAGCGUUACUCGGAAUUACUGGGCGUAAAGGGCGCGUAGGCGGCUCUGUUAGUCAGGCGUGAAAUUCCUGGGCUUAACCUGGGGACUGCGCUUGAUACUGCAGGGCUUGAGGCCGAGAGAGGGUGGUGGAAUUCCCAGUGUAGAGGUGAAAUUCGUAGAUAUUGGGAAGAACACCGGUGGCGAAGGCGACCACCUGGCUCGGUUCUGACGCUGAGGCGCGACAGCGUGGGGAGCAAACAGGAUUAGAACCCGGGUAGUCC